GGCUCGUUGGUCUAGAGGUAUGAUACUCGCUUCGGGUGCGAGUGACCCGGGUUCGAGUCCCGGAUGAGCCC
RNAcentral lists this transfer RNA (71 nucleotides) under Mayetiola destructor (Hessian fly). Its description in RNAcentral is "tRNA-Pro for anticodon CGG". It matches the Rfam family "tRNA". From Rfam's summary of the family: Transfer RNA (tRNA) molecules are approximately 80 nucleotides in length. Their secondary structure includes four short double-helical elements and three loops (D, anti-codon, and T loops). Further hydrogen bonds mediate the characteristic L-shaped molecular structure. tRNAs have two regions of fundamental functional importance: the anti-codon, which is responsible for specific mRNA codon recognition, and the 3' end, to which the tRNAs corresponding amino acid is attached (by aminoacyl-tRNA synthetases). tRNAs cope with the degeneracy of the genetic code in two manners: having more than one tRNA (with a specific anti-codon) for a particular amino acid; and 'wobble' base-pairing, i.e. permitting non-standard base-pairing at the 3rd anti-codon position. Lineage: Eukaryota; Metazoa; Arthropoda; Insecta; Diptera; Cecidomyiidae. The record is from RNAcentral.